This is a long non-coding RNA of Equus caballus (horse), 3514 nucleotides long. NCBI's taxonomy places the organism in Eukaryota, Metazoa, Chordata, Mammalia, Perissodactyla, Equidae. The record is from Ensembl.
UAUCCAACAAAUCCCCAAAUUUCACCAUGUCUACCAUCUUCAGAUAUCAACCAGACUCUCUUCUCUAUCCAAAUCAUCAUCAUAUCUUACCCAGGAUUCCUACUCCUCUCUCCAAUGGUCUCCUAGUCAGUUUUCCUGUUUCUAGUACUUGCUGCCUUAAAAUCUGUUCUCCAGCUGACAGAAUGGUCUUUCUAGGCCACGAGUCUGAUCACGUCACCCCAGUGCUUAAAAUUCACUAAUACUUCUUAUGUCCUCAAGAAAAGACCAGAUUCCCUAGCACAGCUUCCGAGGCAUUUCUUGAUCUAGCUGCUGCCUACCUCUCCAGCCUUACCUCCUUGCAACUGUUCUCUUCAUUCCAGCCACACGUCAUUUCCAGUUCUUCAGAUGUACCGUGUUUCUCUCUUGCCUCUGGGUCUUAGUCCACUGUAGUUUCCCUGCCUAGAAUAUGCCCUUUCCUCACUUUUUGACUUGGCACUUGUUAUUUGAGUGUCAGGUUAGGUACUACAAUUUCCUUGAGAGAUUUUCCCUGUCCCCAGACUUGGUAAUGUGCCCCUGGUAGGUGUUCCCAGAGCCAAUCUGUACUUCCCCCUGCAUUACACUCAACCCAGUAUGGACUCUCCCCUCACUAGCCUGUAGUUCUGUGAAGCAAGACUACAGCUCGCUUGUUCAUCACUAUGUUCUCAUGGCCAUGUAGUGCUGGUCCACAGUGACACUCAACGAGUAUCUGUUGAAUAAAUGAACAUGCAGUUGAUUCUUAAACUCCCAUCUCGGAUCCUCCUAACUUUGUCCUCAAGAUUCAGUUCCACAACUCCAGUCACCUGAUGGACAUCUUAUCAGCACCUAAACUGAGUAUGUACAAAAUGGACAGAGAUCAUCUUCUUUCUCGCAUCGACUCUCUUCCAAACCUAGUAGAGUAGAAAGAACAGAGGCGUGGGAGCAGAUGGCUGCAAUGCCCUGGUAUAUACCCUAUCAGCUAUACAGCUGUAGACAAAUCUUUCCCUGAGCCUUAGUGUUCUCAUCUCUGAAAUAAGGACAAAAGUACCAACCUGAUAGGAUUAGGAUAAAAUUGAAUGAGGUACUCUAUGUGAAAUGCCUGGCAAAUGGCAUAGAAGUAAUAAAUGGCCCCUGAGUUCAAAAGUCUGGAGUUAUUUUUGCUCCUCAGCAGCCACCCCCUAUCAUGCAGGCAGUUCCUGCGUCCCCUCUCUUGACUCUGUCUAGUGUUCUCCAUUCCCACUGCCCCCCUCAUGUGGGCCCUCUUCACCUCCUUCCUGGACUAUCAGAGUAGCUCUAACGGCUUCGCCAGCUCUGGUUUUCUCACUGCCCAAACCACCCCACCCACUGAUACCAGACUAGGCAUCUUACAGGACACACCCUAUCGUCACUCUCCCGACCAAAACUCUUCAGCUGCUCCCUAAUGACUCAGUAUAAAGUUUAAAUCAUUUAGUCAUACGACAUUCAGAGCCCUCCCGGACCUGGCCUCAACAGACCUUUGCUGCCUUAUCUUCUCAUUAGUCACUUUUACACACACUGUUGCCCAGCAACGACAAAUCAGUAACUGCCCGCUCCGUACACCGGUAUUUCCCAUCCCUCUCUACGCCUUUGUUCCUGCUUCCUUAACUCCGACACUCUCCCUCCAAGUCCUCAAGUCCAACACUGACUUUGGGUCAAUGUCCAGCUCAAAUGCUCCUUAGUCUUUGAUGCACUUCUCGAUCACCCCAGCCAUAGAUAAUCUCUCUUUUCUACAAACAUGUGGUGUGUUUAAUUUACAUAUCUCUCUACUUUUAUACACUUCUCUCUCUUCUCUCUGUUUACCCUAAUUUUAUCUGCACACAGAACUUAGCUCCAAGCUCUCUGAGGGCAGCAUCAUGUCCCGGCCCACACUGUCAUGCUCAAAAAAAGCACGCAGGAAACGGAAGCUGACUGCAGAGAGCUACAGAGGAGGUCAGCCUUCAGGGUCUGCAAUCAAGCAGGUUAGCUGCUGAUCAGCUCCGAGAACAGUGCCUGGCGCAGAGCAACACUCCACACAUCACUGUUCAAUGAACUUCUCCACGAGGGCCAUCAGCUAUUGGCUAUAGGCUAGAAAGUCUGACCCCAUGGAAUAAAACACGAAAGAGAUGUGAAGAAGCCUUUUCUCUCCCAUUAUAUACUUGGAGAUGCAGGCAAGCUCCAAGUUCAUUACCUCCCACAGACUCUACAGCUAUUCUCAGCAAUAAAUAUGGCAUGUAAUGCUUUAGUACAUUAUGUCAAACUGCUCAAUUUUAACAUGUAAAUAAGAAUCAUUCUUCAAAUAGCCUCAUUUGGAGAAUACAGAGUUAUUCCAACAAUGUCCACAACCUUUUAAAGACUCACCUUUUAGAUAGCCACAACUUCUUUCCAUAAAAAAGGAAGAAGAAGAAAGAUAUCUAUUAUAGAACGAACACCUUUUCUCCUAAGGCUUUCAACUGGCUGAGAAUUAAAGAAUUUCAGAAAUAAAUUCCCGUCUCCUCAUCCUUAAAAUAGAAGAGAUUUUUCAGGGCUUUCCUUUCCAAAAUUCUAUUACGUAAGCCACUUUACAAAUCAUAUAUACAACAAUUCUCAUUUUUCCACCAAAUUUUAUUUUAGCCCCCCUUGGGCUCUAGCAACACCAUGUGUACCUUGUUACAGUACUUCUCAGGCUAUAAUGUUAUCUCUUUCUAUGUCAUUUAUCCCACUAAACUGCGUCUUCCUGGAGGGCCAGGUGCAUGAGGUGCUCCCUUUCGAACCUGCAGUACUUACUCCUGGAAUGCAGCAGGUGGCUCAGCAAAUGUUCGCAUGAAUCAAUGACUCAAACCAGUUAUUUGACCACAAACUGAUUCACCACACCUAACUCCUGCCUCCUUCCCACCCUCAAAGGUCAGAGAGUUUCCACCUCUAGGGAUAAUAAAAAAAGAUGGAAGGCUCUUAAGCCAAUGGCAAGCAGUUCUAAAUGUGUCCCUGGCAAAGAUGGCGUCACUGUCAUAGAAGUUUAAAUUCCUCCUAGCUAACACGGUACUUGAAGGUGGCAACAUUCACUUACAUGUCUGUGUGUCUUCUGCUAUGUGAGUUAAAAUAUUCAUCACAUUACUUCAGAGUCACACUCUGUAGAUGUGCCUCAUUUCACUCAUUUAUUUAGUCCCCCUGAAACAAACACUGAUGGGUAAAACUGAGUUAGUAUAAAUCACACUGUAAAAAGGAUAGUUAGUCGAGCAUCUUACGGAAUACCUAAAUUUGUUACAGAAAAAAACAAAAAGACCUGCCUGUUUGGCACUGGGUACUUAGGAAGUGAUCCACUUUUCAGGUAUCAUCCAAUCAGACAGACCGACAUCAGCGUCUCCAGAACCUACACAUGGCUCGCUCGUCCCAGAUCCUACAGCAUAGGCACAGCUAUGUUGCCAAGAAAGCUCUUUACAAAGUGGAAGACAAAUCUGAGAAAAACUCUAAAUAAAACUACAGACAGGACUCUCAUAUUUGGGCUUUCCAAACAUAUUGUUAUGGCUUUAAGAAACAGCACAUUUCC